Long non-coding RNA from Clupea harengus (Atlantic herring), 574 nucleotides. NCBI's taxonomy places the organism in Eukaryota, Metazoa, Chordata, Actinopteri, Clupeiformes, Clupeidae. The record is from Ensembl.
GUGAGUGUCCAUCGGCCCCGUCUUUAUACCUGUUAAGGGUAAAACUUCCAAAAGCAUCACCAAACAGUUGUAGAGAUCAAAGAAGGAGGAAAAAUGGCCUCUCUUCAAUUUUAGCCCCUUCCUCCGUACAGAACAGCUUCAAGUUCAGGACUUUGACUUGGCCAUUACAAAACAUAAACUCUUAUUCUUCUUCUUUUACCAACCUUUGGGAGAUUGAUUUGUGUUUUUGGGGGUUGUGGUCUUGCUGCAUGACCCACGUGUCUUGAGAUUCACUUCAGACAGACAUCCUCACAUUUUCUUUUGGAAUUUGCUGGGAUAAUUCAUAAUGCAUUGAGCUGUCCAGGCCCAGCUGCAAAACAGACCCCAACCAUGAUCCUCCCAUCCCCUCGUGUCACAGAUGGUAUAAGGUUCUUAUGCUUGUUUCACAGAUGGAAUAAGGUUCUUAUGCUGGAAUGCAGUGUUGCCUUUCUCUGAACAUAAAAGACAUAAAUAAAAUAGGAUGCCCACUUAAACCUGAUUGACAUCCUAUUGAUUGAAAACACCUAUAAUUUGACCUCCAAAUGAACUGCUUAUC